RNAcentral lists this ribosomal RNA (536 nucleotides) under uncultured bacterium. Its description in RNAcentral is "bacterial SSU rRNA". It matches the Rfam family "Bacterial small subunit ribosomal RNA", at positions 775 to 1311 of the family's 1533-position model. The record is from RNAcentral.
AGUCAAUAGAUACCCCGGUAGUCCACGCCGUAAACGAUGAGUACUAGGUGUAGGAGGUAUCGACUCCUUCUGUGCCGCAGUUAAACACAAUAAGUACUCCGCCUGGGAAGUACGGUCGCAAGGUUAAAACUCAAAGGAAUUAACGGGGGCCCGCACAAGCAGCGGAGCAUGUGGUUUAAUUCGAAGCAACGCGAAGAACCUUACCUAGACUUGACAUCUUCUGAAUAGCGCAGAGAUGCGUGAAGCCCUUCGGGGCAGGAAGACAGGUGGUGCAUGGUUGUCGUCAGCUCGUGUCGUGAGAUGUUGGGUUAAGUCCCGCAACGAGCGCAACCCCUAUUAUUAGUUGCUACCAUUAAGUUGAGCACUCUAAUGAGACUGCCCGGGUUAACCGGGAGGAAGGCGGGGAUGACGUCAAAUCAUCAUGCCCCUUAUGUCUAGGGCUACACACGUGCUACAAUGGUGAGAACAACGAGAUGCAAUACCGCGAGGUGAGCAAAACUUGAAAACUCAUCUCAGUUCGGAUUGUAGGCUGAAAC